GUGGGGAAUCUUGCGCAAUGGGCGAAAGCCUGACGCAGCCAUGCCGCGUGAAUGAUGAAGGUCUUAGGAUUGUAAAAUUCUUUCACCGGGGACGAUAAUGACGGUACCCGGAGAAGAAGCUCCGGCUAACUUCGUGCCAGCAGCCGCGGUAAUACGAAGGGGGCUAGCGUUGCUCGGAAUUACUGGGCGUAAAGGGCGCGUAGGCGGACAGCUUAGUCAGAGGUGAAAGCCCAGGGCUCAACCUUGGAAUUGCCUUUGAUACUGGCUGUCUUGAGUUUGGGAGAGGUGAGUGGAACUCCGAGUGUAGAGGUGAAAUUCGUAGAUAUAGGAAGGAACACCAGUGGCGAAGGCGACCACCUGGACUGAUACUGACACUGAGGUGCGAAAGCGUGGGGAGCAAACAGGAUUAGAUACCCCGGUAGUCC
RNAcentral lists this ribosomal RNA (425 nucleotides) under uncultured bacterium. Its description in RNAcentral is "bacterial SSU rRNA". It matches the Rfam family "Bacterial small subunit ribosomal RNA", at positions 354 to 796 of the family's 1533-position model. The record is from RNAcentral.